CCAGAGAACUUAGCAGNGAUGCUUUGGUGCCUUUCGGGAACUCUGAGACAGGUGCUGCAUGGCUGUCGUCAGCUCGUGUUGUGAAAUGUUGGGUUAAGUCCCGCAACGAGCGCAACCCUUAUCCUUUGUUGCCAGCGGCUCGGCCGGGAACUCAAAGGAGACUGCCGGUGAUAAACCGGAGGAAGGUGGGGAUGACGUCAAGUCAUCAUGGCCCUUACGGCCAGGGCUACACACGUGCUACAAUGGCGCAUACAAAGAGAAGCGACCUCGCGAGAGCAAGCGGACCUCACAAAGUGCGUCGUAGUCCGGAUUGGAGUCUGCAACUCGACUCCAUGAAGUCGGAAUCGCUAGUAAUCGUAGAUCAGAAUGCUACGGUGAAUACGUUCCCGGGCCUUGUACACACCGCCCGUCACACCAUGGGAGUGGGUUGCAAAAGAAGUAGGUAGCUUAACCUUCGGGAGGGCGCUUACCACUUUGUGAUUCAUGACUGGGGUGAAGUCGUAACAAGGUAGGCGUAGCGAG
Molecule: ribosomal RNA, 522 nt
Filed under: uncultured bacterium
Lineage: Bacteria
Description: bacterial SSU rRNA
Rfam family: Bacterial small subunit ribosomal RNA
Source: RNAcentral